This 567-nucleotide ribosomal RNA is filed under the name uncultured Glomus. RNAcentral describes it as "SSU rRNA". It matches the Rfam family "Eukaryotic small subunit ribosomal RNA", at positions 537 to 1109 of the family's 1831-position model. The record is from RNAcentral. Lineage: Eukaryota; Fungi; Glomeromycota; Glomeromycetes; Glomerales; Glomeraceae.
GUGAUUUUGGAGGGCAAGUCUGGUGCCAGCAGCCGCGGUAAUUCCAGCUCCAAUAGCGUAUAUUAAAGUUGUUGCAGUUAAAAGCUCGUAGUUGAAUUUCGGGGUUAGUAGGUUGGUCAUGCCUCUGGUAUGUACUGGUCUCACUGAUUCCUCCUUCCUUAUGAACCGUAAUGCCAUUAAUUUGGUGUUGCGGGGAAUUUGGACUGUUACUUUGAAAAAAUUAGAGUGUUUAAAGCAAGCUAACGCUUGAAUACAUUAGCAUGGAAUAAUGAAAUAGGACGUUCGAUCUUAUUUUGUUGGUUUCUAGGAUUGACGUAAUGAUUAAUAGGGAUAGUUGGGGGCAUUAGUAUUCAAUUGUCAGAGGUGAAAUUCUUGGAUUUAUUGAAGACUAACUACUGCGAAAGCAUUUGCCAAGGAUGUUUUCAUUAAUUAAGAACGAAAGUUAGGGGAUCGAAGACGAUCAGAUACCGUCGUAGUCUUAACCAUAAACUAUGCCGACUAGGGAUCGGAUGAUGUUAAUUUUUUAAUGACUCAUUCGGCGCCUUACGGGAAACAAUCGAAUUCCCG